GCCAGGUGUGAGGGCGCGAGGACGCGGGGCUGUGAGCUCCCCGAGGACGACGCCCCCUCUGCUUACACCACCUGCAGGCGCUCCAGCCCCGGCACUGGAAGGCCUUGGCCACCGACACAGCAGCCUCAUCUUCUGGCUGGAUAAACUCACCUCAGAGCCAAGCGGCCCCGGAGAAGCUGCCUCUGUGGCCCGGUCUGCAGGGUGGAGUUACCGUGGGUCCCUCGCAUCAGACAUCUGCCUGCGGACCAGACACCUGCUCUCCUCCAAGGAGCCUCAAUGUCCAGAGAAGGGAUCCUGCGGUGACCGAGGGACAGGCCUGUCUUCUGGGUCACCACAUCUUGGCAUUUAUUAUUUGCCCCCAGGAAGGUCUGAAGGAUUUUACUUUUAAAAACCAUAGUCAGCCGGGCGCGGUGGCUAACGCCUGUAAUCCCAGCACUUAGGGAGGCCGAGGCGGGUGGAUCACCUGAGGUCAGGAGUUCAAGAACAAUCUGACCAACAUGCAGAAACCCUGUCUCUACUAAUACUACAAAAUUAGCCAGGUGUGGUGGUGGGCGCCCGUAAUCCCAGCUACUUGGGGGGCUGAGGCAGGAGAAUUGCUUGAACCUGCGGGGUGGAGGUUGCAGUGAGCUGAGAUCACACCAUUGCACUCCAGCCUGGGCAACAAGAGCGAA
RNAcentral lists this long non-coding RNA (671 nucleotides) under Homo sapiens (human). Its description in RNAcentral is "HSALNT0406430". Lineage: Eukaryota; Metazoa; Chordata; Mammalia; Primates; Hominidae. The record is from RNAcentral.